This 387-nucleotide ribosomal RNA is filed under the name uncultured bacterium. Its description in RNAcentral is "bacterial SSU rRNA". It matches the Rfam family "Bacterial small subunit ribosomal RNA", at positions 28 to 417 of the family's 1533-position model. The record is from RNAcentral.
GACGAACGCUGGCGGCGUGCUUAACACAUGCAAGUCGAGCGGUAAGGCCCUUUCGGGGUACGACGAGCGGCGAACGGGUGAGUAACACGUGGGUGACCUGCCCUCAGCUCUGGGAUAAGCCCGGGAAACUGGGUCUAAUACUGGAUAUGACUCCAUGACGCAUGUUGUGGGGUGGAAAGCCUUGUGCGGCUGAGGAUGGGCCCGCGGCCUAUCAGCUUGUUGGUGGGGGAUGGCCUACCAAGGCGACGACGGGUAGCCGGCCUGAGAGGGCGACCGGCCACACUGGGACUGAGACACGGCCCAGACUCCUACGGGAGGCAGCAGUGGGGAAUCUUGCGCAAUGGGCGAAAGCCUGACGCAGCGACGCCGCGUGAGGGAUGACGGCCU